This is a long non-coding RNA of Helianthus annuus (common sunflower), 986 nucleotides long. RefSeq lists it as uncharacterized. NCBI's taxonomy places the organism in Eukaryota, Viridiplantae, Streptophyta, Magnoliopsida, Asterales, Asteraceae. The transcript has 3 exons. The record is from RefSeq and is a predicted model, not a curated record.
AGGGACAAGUCCGAAGAUGGUCGUGCAUUUUCCGUUCGCUUCACUGAUGCUACAGUUUCUAGCCAGGGUGUUGAUUUGAUUCAUCAAGGAUGAAAUAAGAAAGGUCAAAGUGUCAAAAGGGGAGUUCAAAAUUCAUGCAAUCUACAGAUCCCGUCCAGCAUUGCCUCUGUUGAUGAACCUGCACAUGCUUUGCUGUAUCUGCACUCUGAUCUACCGGAUUCACUUUUUAUGGUUGCGCAUUGUUCCCUGCGUGCUGUGGCUCGUGAUCGUAAGUAACAAACAUACUAUAAUGUUUUCAUAUUCUUUGCAUGUAAUAAUAGUUGUCAAUAGCAAUCGCUACGGUCGCUAUAGCAAAUAUUCGAACCCUAUUCAAAUCGGUUUGGUUCACAAAGCGGUAUCCAAAAACUGGUAUUUAAACUUUUUUUGUGGGUUGGGUUGAAACCGGUUCGGGUGACGAGAGGGGGAACCGGAAUACAAACUGGCGGUUUGGGUUCGGUUGAAACCGAUUUGGUAGGCAAAUUGGGCCGGUUACGAGAGGACGAACUGGUUUAGCUCGAACUUGGUAAAGUGUCAACAUAUACAUUUGUACAGUGUAGACAAAGAAUUUGGUCAACAGGUCAACAUAUUUUGGUAGUGUAUAGCCUUUCUAAAUUGACCUUACACACGACUUGGUAAAUUGCCAAUUUUGACCCAAUAGUUUGAAUUUGGACUUUAAAAAAGAAGUGAUGGGCUGCUUUGGGUUAACAUAAUACUUAAGUGGGUUGAAAUGGGUAUAUUAUAUAAAUAAAAGAUUAACGAAAUGAUGAACAAAAUUGCACGGUGGGUACCCUGAAAAACAAACUGGUUUCCAAAGUAAGAUUCAAUUCGAUUAUCAAAACUCAUAUGUUAAAGAAGUUCGAAUUCAAAUCAUCUUAUCUGAAGAUUUGUACUGCGUAAUUUGAGGUAAAUAUCAAUUAUUUGUCGUGAAAUCACUAAUUUUUGGGUUA